Molecule: small RNA, 27 nt
Filed under: Bombyx mori (domestic silkworm)
Lineage: Eukaryota; Metazoa; Arthropoda; Insecta; Lepidoptera; Bombycidae
Description: ovarian small RNA-20547
Source: RNAcentral
UACCACGUGCAGGUUAGAGGUAGGAGU